RNAcentral lists this ribosomal RNA (433 nucleotides) under uncultured bacterium. RNAcentral's name for it is "partial 16S ribosomal RNA". It matches the Rfam family "Bacterial small subunit ribosomal RNA", at positions 29 to 507 of the family's 1533-position model. The record is from RNAcentral.
AACGAACGCUGGCGGCAUGCCUAACACAUGCAAGUCGAACGAGACCUUCGGGUCUAGUGGCGCACGGGUGCGUAACGCGUGGGAACCUGCCCUUAGGUUCGGAAUAACUCCCCGAAAGGGGUGCUAAUACCGGAUAAUGUCUUCGGACCAAAGAUUUAUCGCCUUUGGAUGGGCCCGCGUUGGAUUAGCUAGUUGGUAGGGUAAAAGCCUACCAAGGCGACGAUCCAUAGCUGGUCUGAGAGGAUGAUCAGCCACACUGGGGCUGAGACACGGCCCAGACUCCUACGGGAGGCAGCAGUGGGGAAUAUUGGACAAUGGGCGAAAGCCUGAUCCAGCAAUGCCGCGUGAGUGAUGAAGGCCUUAGGGUUGUAGAGCUCUUUUACCCGGGAUGAUAAUGACAGUACCGGGAGAAUAAGCUCCGGCUAACUCCGUG